RNAcentral lists this ribosomal RNA (253 nucleotides) under uncultured bacterium. RNAcentral describes it as "partial 16S ribosomal RNA". It matches the Rfam family "Bacterial small subunit ribosomal RNA", at positions 524 to 776 of the family's 1533-position model. The record is from RNAcentral.
UACGGGGGGGGCAAGCGUUGUUCGGAAUUACUGGGCGUAAAGGGCUCGUAGGUGGCCAACUAAGUCGGACGUGAAAUCCCUCAGCUUAACUGGGGAACUGCGUCCGAUACUGGAUGGCUUGAGUUUGGGAGAGGGAUGCGGAAUUCCAGGUGUAGCGGUGAAAUGCGUAGAUAUCUGGAGGAACACCGGUGGCGAAGGCGGCAUCCUGGACCAAAACUGACACUGAGGAGCGAAAGCCAGGGGAGCAAACGGG